UACGUAGGGUGCGAGCGUUAUUCGGAAUUAUUGGGCGUAAAGCGUGCGCAGGCGGUUUUGUAAGCCAGAUGUGAAAUCCCCGGGCUUAACCUGGGAACUGCGUUUCUAACUGGCAGGCUUGAGUGUGGCAGAGGGGGGUGGAAUUCCACGUGUAGCAGUGAAAUGCGUAGAGAUGUGGAGGAACACCGAUGGCGAAGGCAGCCCCCUGGGCUGACACUGACGCUCAUGCACGAAAGCGUGGGGAGCAAACAGG
Molecule: ribosomal RNA, 253 nt
Filed under: uncultured bacterium
Lineage: Bacteria
Description: partial 16S ribosomal RNA
Rfam family: Bacterial small subunit ribosomal RNA
Source: RNAcentral